Molecule: ribosomal RNA, 468 nt
Filed under: uncultured bacterium
Lineage: Bacteria
Description: partial 16S ribosomal RNA
Rfam family: Bacterial small subunit ribosomal RNA
Source: RNAcentral
GACGAACGCUGGCGGCGUGCUUAACACAUGCAAGUCGAACGGAAAGGCCCUGCUUUUGUGGGGUGCUCGAGUGGCGAACGGGUGUGUCACACGGGAGUAACCUGCCCUUUACUUUGGGAUAACUUCAGGAAAUUGGGGCUAAUACCUGAUAGGUGCUCCUGCUGCAUUUUUGGGGUUGGAAAGUUUCGGCGGUUGGGGAUGGACUCGCGGCUUAUCAGCUUGUUGGUGGGGUAGUGGCUUACCAAGGCUUUGACGGGUAGCCGGCCUGCGAGGUUGACCGGCCAAAUUGGGACUGAGAUACGGCACAGACUCCUACGGGAGGCAGCAGUGGGGAAGAGUGCACAAGGGGCGGAAGCCUGAUGCAGCAACGCCGCGUGCGGGAUGACGACCUUCGGGUUGUAAACCGCUUUCGCCUGUGACGAAGCGUGAGUGACGGUAAUGGGUAAAGAAGCACCGGCUAACUACGUG